RNAcentral lists this ribosomal RNA (2010 nucleotides) under human oral metagenome. Its description in RNAcentral is "bacterial LSU rRNA". It matches the Rfam family "Bacterial large subunit ribosomal RNA", at positions 1104 to 2925 of the family's 2925-position model. The record is from RNAcentral.
GCUUAGAAGCAGCCAUUCAUUUAAAGAGUGCGUAACAGCUCACUAGUCAAGAGAUUUUGCGUGGAAAAUGUAACGGGGCUAAAGUGUUAAACCGAAGACAUGGACUUCUGCUUUUGCAGGAGUGGUAGAGGAGCGUUGAUAUCGCAGUGAAGUCAGACUGGAAAGUCUGGUGGAGCGUUAUCAAGUGAGAAUGCUGGAAUCAGUAACCUUAAGGCGGGUGAGAAUCCUGCCGGUCGUAAGAGCAAGGUUUCCAGGGCUACAGUAAUUGUCCCUGGGUUAGUCGGUCCUAAGCCGAGGCGUAUCAGCGUAGGCGAUGGACAACAGGUUAAUAUUCCUGUACAGGUAGUAGUUGUGAACAGUUCACGGUGAAUGACCGGAGCGGAUUAAUGGUUUAUCCGUCCAAGUCUUUAGGGAACUAAAGAUGAGUGAAAGGUAAUCCUUGGAUUAUUAAUUCCGGGUGAAGUGCUGGCUAGAAAAGCUGAUUCACUUAUGCUGCUGCCUACCGUACCGCAAACCAACACCGGUGCUCGGGUCGAGUAGACCAAGACCUACGUGAGAACCUUCGCUAAGGAACUCGGCAAAAAAGCGUCCGUAACUUCGGAAUAAGGACUGCCCUCUCAUUAAGAUGAGGAUUUGCUAGAAACUCAGCAGAAGAUUCAGAUUAUGUUACAUAUUUACUAAAAAUUUGUUAUUUUUCGAGACCAUAAGCUCGGCCGAACGGCCUUGAGUGUGUCGAGAAAAACAACAAAUUUUAGUUAUUUACCUUUAACUGAAUUUUUUCGUUGAGACAGAACACAAAUCAGGAUUUGUUUUAACAAAUUCGUGUCUUUUCUAGUAGUCUAAUCGUCAUUUUGAUGAGAGGGCCGCAGCUAAAGAGCCCACGGAACUGUUUACCAAAAACAUAGGUCUCUGCUAACGCGAAAGCGGAUGUAUAGGGGCUGACUCCUGCCCGGUGUCGGAAGGUUAAGGGGAGAGCUUUACGGUUCGAACUGAAGCCCCGAUGAACGGCGGCGAUAACUAUGAUCGUCCUAAGGUAGCGAAAUUCCUUGUCUGGUAAGUUCAGACCCGCACGAAUGGAGUAAUCAUGUGGGCACUGUCUCGGCGAAGGCCACGGUGAACGUGCAUUGGCGGUAAAGAUGCCGUCUGAUCAUGCCAGGACGAGAAGACCCCAUGGAGCUUUACUACAACUUUGCAUUGAUUAUUGGGACAUUUUGUGUAGAAUAGGUGGAAGACUUUGAAGCAGAUACGCUAGUAUUUGUGGAGUCGAAAUGUGAAAUACCACCCUGAAUGUUUUAGUAAUCUCACUUUUGACCUGAUCGGCCAAAAGGACCGUGCAUGGCGGGUAGUUUAACUGGGGCGGUUGCCUCCUAAAGAGUAGCGGAGGCGUUCAAAGGUUGGCUAACUACGGAUGGAAAUCGUAGUGAUAGUGUAUGCGCAAAAGCCAGCUUGACUGUGAGGGCCACAACCCAAUCAGACACGAAAGUGGGAGCAAAUGACCCGCUGUACAGAACUUCGGUUCAAUUUACGUGGGAAAGACAGCGCACACGGAUAAAAGUUACCCUGGGGAUAACAGGCUGAUCGCGCCCAAUAGUUCACAUAGACGGCGCGGUUUGGCACCUCGAUGUCGGCUCAUCACAUCCUGGAGGGGGAGCACCUUCCAAGGGUCCGGCUGUUCGCCGGUUAAAGUGGUACGCGAGCUGGGUUCAGAACGUCGUGAGACAGUUCGGUUUAUAUCCGGCAUGAUCGUUAGGAAUUUUGAGGAGAUCUGCCCUUAGUACGAGAGGACCGGGGUGGACGGAUCUCUAGUGUAUCGGUUGUGACCACCUGUUGCAUUGCCGAGUAGCUAUAUCCGGAAGAGAUAAGCGCUGAAAGCAUAUUAAGCGCGAAGCCCACUCCAAGAUUAGAAUUCCCUAUGAGAUCCCAGAGAGAAGAUCUGGUUGAUAGGCGCAAGAUGGAAGUACCGCAAGGUAUGGAGUCGAAGCGUACUAAUAGAUCCAUCGCCUUUUUAUG